GAUGAACGCUGGCGGCGUGCCUAAUACAUGCAAGUCGAGCGAACGGACGAGAAGCUUGCUUCUCUGAUGUUAGCGGCGGACGGGUGAGUAACACGUGGAUAACCUACCUAUAAGACUGGGAUAACUUCGGGAAACCGUAGCUAAUACCGGAUAAUAUUUUGAACCGCAUGGUUCAAAAGUGAAAGACGGUCUUGCUGUCACUUAUAGAUGGAUCCGCGCUGCAUUAGCUAGUUGGUAAGGUAACGGCUUACCAAGGCAACGAUGCAUAGCCGACCUGAGAGGGUGAUCGGCCACACUGGAACGGAGACACGGUCCAGACUCCUACGGGGGGCAGCAGUAGGGAAUCUUCCGCAAUGAGCGGAAGCCUGACGGAGCAACGCCGCGUGAGUGAUGAAGGUCUUCGGAUCGUAAAACUCUGUUAUUAGGGAAGAACAUAUGUGUAAGUAACUGUGCACAUCUUGACGGUACCUAAUCAGAAAGCCACGGCUAACUACGUG
RNAcentral lists this ribosomal RNA (497 nucleotides) under uncultured bacterium. RNAcentral's name for it is "partial 16S ribosomal RNA". It matches the Rfam family "Bacterial small subunit ribosomal RNA", at positions 28 to 507 of the family's 1533-position model. The record is from RNAcentral.